AACAUAAACACCGUUUUUUUUUUUUUUUUUUUUUUGCUUUGUCUUGCAUACCAGCGGUUGACACGUCGUCAGCAGCUCUACCGAAGUCUGUGAUUGAGACGACACUGGACGAUGUCUCCUCCAAAUCUCCCACAACCACGUCCCCCAUCCAGACUUCUGCUACAUCCACCGCCGCUUCCUCAUCCAAUCCAACGGCUCGGAGUCACAGCACGUCCUCCACCGCUCCCACUGGCCAAUCAGAGGUGCUCAUGGACACGUUAAGUCCCGCCCUCACAGAUCCCCAUGGCAACAGCCUGUCGGGGAAGCAGCACAACGUCCCAGGGCUGAGCAUCAUGGGAGUUCUGCUGAUCGCCUGCGCUGCGGCGGCGACCGGCUUCCUCUGCUGGAAACGCAGGUCGCAGCGUGCAGACAAAAGCACACAGCAGACAGAGACGGCGGAGGAAAAAUUACCCAUGAACACCGAGGAGGACGCUGCGCCCCAGGAGGUGUGCACGCCGCUGUGACGCGUUCGAUGAAGGAGUGUCCCGACUGCGAAUUGGAGGUUUUUUUGUCCUCGGAGGCAGAAACGAUCUCAUUGGCUGAUUUAAAUCUCAGGGGGCGGAGCCAGAGAUCUUCAGCCUGAGGGUCCAAAAAAAUGACCUCUGUUUUUUGACGAGGUGUUUUGCCAUUUUUUAUUAUUUUUUUAGGCUUUUUAACAUCGACACCAUGCAGCGUCCUGAUAGAGAAAUGCAGUUUUUAAUAAUGACUGUUGUUAAAUAUGGAUAAAUAAUUACCUGUUCUCCUGUCGUUACCUGUGUUAUUAACUGACCGCUGAAUGUUGAACUGUUUUUUUUUAAAUGUUGGAAUCAGAUGAAAAUGUCAG
Molecule: long non-coding RNA, 862 nt
Filed under: Myripristis murdjan (pinecone soldierfish)
Lineage: Eukaryota; Metazoa; Chordata; Actinopteri; Holocentriformes; Holocentridae
Description: lncRNA (ENSMMDG00005003842.1)
Source: RNAcentral